CGACCACACAUCAGCUUCUGCAACAAUCAUCUAUCACGUUCACCCACCAUUACUUCUUUCACAAACGGUCCUCGUCCAUUCAAAAUCCUUUUGCCUGCGCCCGCAACGAUCGUCCUCUCCUUCUUUUCUAUUUUUACCCGCUCUUUCCCUUUGUCUUGUGUUGGUACUUGGAAAUUCGGCACUUCCACACGAUGCAAUUUAUCGUCACCUUUCUUCAACUUCUUUUCGAACCCCUUCUCUCUCACCAGCUCCAGGAACUCUUUGAACAGGGGAUCAGCGUUGAGGGUUUUGGCGCUUGCGAAAAUGACCAGCUUCUUUUUGGCUCGGGUGAAGGAUACGUUGAUUCGACGCCAGUCUCUGAGAAGAUCACCAAUCUGCCAUAUAUUCAGCUAGAAAUCGACUGGAUCAAAAUGUAGAGCAACUCACAUUACCACUCUCGUUCGAUCUGACCAGGGAAACCAAAAUACAAUCCUUAUCUCUACCUUGAGACUUGUCUGCUGUCAAGAUCUCGACUCGCGGAAUAGGCUUGAGAUAAGAAGAUAAAAGCUUGAUUUGUUGACGAUAAGGCGUGAUGAUCGCAAUAUCUUCUUGUCGCACGCCCGAAGCUAUGAGGGCAGUCGACAGCUAAUUAAAGGAUCAACGACGGUCAGCCAUACGCAGAAAGAUACAGUAUAAUGUCGAUAUCCACCUGUUGGACGAGCUUCGCUUCUGUCUCAUUCUGCACCAAAUCCCCUACUCGCGAGUCUAAUGCAGGUAUCCUAUCCGUGUCAAUAAAGACACAUUUUGCGCUUUCUUCCAACAAGUCUUGGAUCCAACACCUUUUCCCUUGAUCGCACGUACACCCGGCGUCUCCAAAGAUCUCCUUACAUCUCUUUCGAGAACGCAGUUUGAGUCCGCUCUGGGCCACUUGCUCAUUCCCACACUUCAACCGACCCUCAUAUACGAGCUUAUUCGACAAUGCCAUAAUAUCCUCGUUCAUUCUAUACUGGUAAGAAAGAUCAACGACAGCCGAUGGAUGUGUGGCAGAGAGAUGCCGGAAGAGGGAAACAUCCAGUCCACCACGACGAGCUUCUGCGUGACGGACGAUAGGCGGUAGUUGGUAGUGGUCUCCGACCAGAACAAACUUGUCUGCCAUUCGCAGGGGACCGAUGCAGGUGGGAAGCGUGAUUUGAGAAGCCUCGUCGACAAUGCAGUAGUCAAAUCGACGACGGAAGAAUAAUGGACUUUUGCACAUCAGUUUUUGACAAGCACUAUCUGAGAAGAUCGCUCACUGAUCAAUAGCAAGACAUGUAGCAGCCACAACGGGAGGUGUCAUCAAUCUCGCAUUCAAUUGAUCCAUACUUGCCGAGGCUUCAUACGCUUCAAGCGUUAAAUGCUGUACAUCUGGGUGGACCUACGACACGUGUCAAUAACUCACGCAUCGACACCCACAAGAAAAGAAAGGAAAAAAAACCUCGUACCUUGUCGAUAUUCCCCAAUCGUAGUACUCCAAACUCUGCAUCUGCCAACUUCAUCAGAAUCGCAUCCACCGCAGAGUGUGUAUAAGACGUGAGCAAGACACUCUUCCCUCUCGCUACAAGCGCUUUGAUGAUCUCUGCUAUAGUCGUGGUUUUACCCGUACCGGGCAUACCAAGGAUCAAGGAAUAAUCUCGCGCAGUGAGGACACUCUCCAUGGCCUUUUGCUGAUCAGAGUUGAGAGAUGGAGGGAUCUCUGAAGGUUCGGGACGCCAAGAUGGUUCAAAUUCGGGCGCUGCCUGGUCGACGAUGAGACGCCUUCGCGCCCCAUCCCCGUUUUUGUAAAACAACUGGGCAAGAUUGUUUCUCAUUCGCAUCAUACCACUCGCCAUCUCAUCCUUGUCAAUUCGGAACACCACUUUAUCCCGACUCUGCCCGUCAGAUGCCUUGAGAACGCGGUGCUCUCGCCCUGUCCGUUUCAGGAGAGCAUCAGUGUUGAUGACAUAUGUUACGCCGACAGUGACACUGGUCUGGGUAAGAUCAGUAACGAAGCCUCGCCACAUACAAAGAAGAUCAGGCUCAAUAGAAAGAGAGACAGGAUCGCCUUUAGCGAUGUGUCCGGAAAGAAGAGAGGUAGUAUUUUCAGAGAUAGCAGAGGGAGCGCGGAUAAAAGUGUAACUAUGGCGAUGGAUUUUUGCAAGAGAUUUUCCGAGGUCGUUGGAGUAUGAUUCAAUGAUCAUAUCACUGAAACAUCUGCAAAAUUCUAUCAGAGCUGUGCUUCCUCGUGAGAAAGAUAUAGGAGGCUUACCUCCCAUUCUUCUCUCUCUGCUUGGCAGUCAUGGUCCAAAGUUGUGACCUAAACUUCACUGUGUCCUGUUCUUCAACUGUCAAGAGGGUGUCCCACUUCUUGUAGAAUUCAGCGUCUUUCUCUGUCAUAUGACCUGUAUGCUCCUCAUAAAGCUCAGCAAUAGGGUCUUCGGGGUCUUGAGGUACCUUGUCGAUGACCUAUAAUAAUCAUGUAAGACCAGCACUCGAGAAAAAAGGAGAAUGCUUACUUUGCGAUAAAGCAUACAACUCUCGACAGCGUAACACAUCUUACAGUCCCUCAUAUUAUCGAUGGUCGGCGGCAAGAACGCCUCCUCGACCUCUGUUUCCAGCUUCUCUUCUCUUUUCUCUUCUUUGAGCAUCUCCUUCUUGACGACACUCUUUCUCAAGAUCUCUACUGGCCUAUUACCUUCAGGCAAAUGUUUGGGUACUUUACGCUGCUUUGAAAUGUACAUUGCAAGCUCGUUACGGGCCAUAAUGAGGGCACGAAUCUCAUUCUGCUUGGCUUCGACUCGAAGGAUGGUGUCAAGCGCGGAAUAGUACAAGAGACCAGCAGGGACGGGAACACCUGCAUAGUUUUGUCAACUCUAUGGGCCUGGCCAGCAGAUCGUGGAGUAUAACGCACCAUACCGAUCUUCCAUGAGAAGGGUAUACAACAUUGUCUGCGCUCGAUGAGCCAUUACACCCACAGAUCUGCCCGUUUUGAUCUCGAAUGGAGCAACGUGUUCUUCGGCCUGUGAACCGUGCAGAGGAUCGCGGAUGAUCUUGGCCUGGACAGAAGCGUCUACUUUACCUUUGAGACCCCAUUUGGGCGACCAAAUUUCUUCUUCCACCUCGUGAAGACCAUUAAUGGCGAGAAGGGCGGGCUGAUCGCCUGCGCUAGAAUGAAGUUCUCCUUCCGGCUAAAUUUCGAUUAAGGGGUCAACGUUUGACAACGAGUACUAAAAGUAGCAUAACCCGCUUACCUUUGGGUCUUUUGUGAUGUAACGCUCGCCAAAGACUUCAAACCCUCUCCCUGCCUUCACUCCAACUUCUUCCCUCACAUCUAGGAUCCCCAUAUCUGUACUCCAAAUGUCUAACUUUAUCUCAUCCUUUUUUAACUCAGCAUCUAGUCUUCUGAAAGUGCCGCCGGCAUCAAAAUCUUGUUGCAACAAUGCGCCCUGAAGCAAAGAAUGCAAAAGGGUACCGUAGAGGAGGGGUUUCGUAGGUGGACCUGGCGUUCGGAUAAGUGAUUGGAUGAUAGGUUUACGGGGACAGGGCAUGGCGUUGGCAAUAGAGGUCAUGGUAAUCAUAAGGUCGGGGUGAUGUAUUAAAAAGGUAGAUGGGUCUUUGAAGGUUACCGAGAUUGGCUUGGUGGUUUGAGUUGCUAGUAAGGGAGAGAUAAUGUUAAUGAUGUCGCCUACAGAAGAUACAUUAUGUCCGCCCAUCGAUCCUUGAGGUGUACUACUCCACGAGCACCUCCCUCCGUUAGAGUAAUUAUGAGAGACUUACAGAGAGUGUCAGAAUCUUGUGGUCUAAACGAUCACGCGAAAGCACUCACUUUGGCAAAAGAAACUUCAACAACCUCUAUUCUCUCAAGCUCGCUCGUCGACGGAAUAACACCGUCUUCG
This 3890-nucleotide small RNA is filed under the name Cryptococcus neoformans H99. RNAcentral's name for it is "Cryptococcus neoformans var. grubii H99 hypothetical RNA". The record is from RNAcentral. Lineage: Eukaryota; Fungi; Basidiomycota; Tremellomycetes; Tremellales; Cryptococcaceae.